UGCGUAGGCGGGACUGUAAGUAUCAUGUGAAAUCCCACGGCUCAACCGUGGAAUGGCUUGGUAGACUGCAGUCCUUGAGAUCGGUAGAGGAUGCUGGAACUCUAGGUGGAGCGGUGAAAUGCGUAGAUAUCUAGAGGAACACCAAAGGUGAAGACAGGCAUCUGGGCCGAAUCUGACGCUGAGGCACGAAAGCGUGGGUAGCGAACAGGAUUAGAUACCCUGGUAGUCC
This 229-nucleotide ribosomal RNA is filed under the name uncultured bacterium. RNAcentral describes it as "partial 16S ribosomal RNA". It matches the Rfam family "Bacterial small subunit ribosomal RNA", at positions 568 to 796 of the family's 1533-position model. The record is from RNAcentral.